RNAcentral lists this transfer RNA (74 nucleotides) under Acinetobacter baumannii BJAB0868. RNAcentral's name for it is "tRNA-Met". It matches the Rfam family "tRNA". Rfam says of the family: Transfer RNA (tRNA) molecules are approximately 80 nucleotides in length. Their secondary structure includes four short double-helical elements and three loops (D, anti-codon, and T loops). Further hydrogen bonds mediate the characteristic L-shaped molecular structure. tRNAs have two regions of fundamental functional importance: the anti-codon, which is responsible for specific mRNA codon recognition, and the 3' end, to which the tRNAs corresponding amino acid is attached (by aminoacyl-tRNA synthetases). tRNAs cope with the degeneracy of the genetic code in two manners: having more than one tRNA (with a specific anti-codon) for a particular amino acid; and 'wobble' base-pairing, i.e. permitting non-standard base-pairing at the 3rd anti-codon position. Lineage: Bacteria; Pseudomonadati; Pseudomonadota; Gammaproteobacteria; Moraxellales; Moraxellaceae. The record is from RNAcentral.
UGCGGGGUGGAGCAGUCUGGUAGCUCGUCGGGCUCAUAACCCGAAGGUCGUUGGUUCAAAUCCAGCUCCCGCUA